This 253-nucleotide ribosomal RNA is filed under the name uncultured bacterium. RNAcentral's name for it is "partial 16S ribosomal RNA". It matches the Rfam family "Bacterial small subunit ribosomal RNA", at positions 524 to 776 of the family's 1533-position model. The record is from RNAcentral.
UACGUAGGGUGCGAGCGUUGUCCGGAAUUAUUGGGCGUAAAGAGCUCGUAGGCGGUUUGUUGCGUCUAUCGUGAAAACCUGCAGCUUAACUGUGGGCUUGCGGUGGAUACGGGCAGACUUGAGUUCGGUAGGGGAGACUGGAAUUCCUGGUGUAGCGGUGAAAUGCGCAGAUAUCAGGAGGAACACCGGUGGCGAAGGCGGGUCUCUGGGCCGUAACUGACGCUGAGGAGCGAAAGCAUGGGGAGCGAACAGG